AGAGUUUGAUCCUGGCUCAGAUUGAACGCUGGCGGCAGGCUUAACACAUGCAAGUCGAGCGGGGAUGAGGUGCUUGCACCUUAUCUUAGCGGCGGACGGGUGAGUAAUGCUUAGGAAUCUGCCAUUUAGUGGGGGACAACAUUCCGAAAGGAAUGCUAAUACCGCAUACGUCCUACGGGAGAAAGCAGGGGAUCUUCGGACCUUGCGCUAAAUGAUGAGCCUAAGUCGGAUUAGCUAGUUGGUGGGGUAAAGGCCUACCAAGGCGACGAUCUGUAGCGGGUCUGAGAGGAUGAUCCGCCACACUGGGACUGAGACACGGCCCAGACUCCUACGGGAGGCAGCAGUGGGGAAUAUUGGACAAUGGGCGGAAGCCUGAUCCAGCCAUGCCGCGUGUGUGAAGAAGGCCUUUUGGUUGUAAAGCACUUUAAGCGAGGAGGAGGCUACUAGUACUAAUACUACUGGAUAGUGGACGUACUCGCAGAAUAAGA
This 488-nucleotide ribosomal RNA is filed under the name Acinetobacter sp. AKB-2008-HE138. RNAcentral's name for it is "bacterial SSU rRNA". It matches the Rfam family "Bacterial small subunit ribosomal RNA", at positions 8 to 491 of the family's 1533-position model. The record is from RNAcentral. Lineage: Bacteria; Pseudomonadati; Pseudomonadota; Gammaproteobacteria; Moraxellales; Moraxellaceae.